This 253-nucleotide ribosomal RNA is filed under the name uncultured bacterium. RNAcentral describes it as "partial 16S ribosomal RNA". It matches the Rfam family "Bacterial small subunit ribosomal RNA", at positions 524 to 776 of the family's 1533-position model. The record is from RNAcentral.
CACGUAGGGUGCGAGCGUUAUCCAGAUUUACUGGGCGUAAAGCGCGUGUAGGCGGCUGGUUAGGUGUGAUGUGAAAGCCCGGGGCUCACCCCCGGAAGUGCAUUGGAAACUGGUGGACUCGAGUCCCGGAGAGGAGAGUGGAAUUCCUGGUGUAGCGGUGAAAUGCGUAGAUAUCAGGAGGAACACCGGUGGCGAAGGCGGCUCUCUGGACGGUGACUGACGCUGAGACGCGAAAGCGUGGGGAGCAAACAGG